RNAcentral lists this unclassified non-coding RNA (379 nucleotides) under uncultured Rickettsiales bacterium. RNAcentral's name for it is "contains 16S-23S intergenic spacer region". The record is from RNAcentral. Lineage: Bacteria; Pseudomonadati; Pseudomonadota; Alphaproteobacteria; Rickettsiales.
UCCGGCUUAUCACCGGCAGUUUCCUUAGAGUUCCCAGCCGAACUGUUGGCAACUAAGGAUGAGGGUUGCGCUCGUUGCGGGACUUAACCCAACAUCUCACGACACGAGCUGACGACAGCCGUGCAGCACCUGUGCACGGUCCAGCCAAACUGAAGGAAAGCAUUUCUGCGAUCCGCGACCGGCAUGUCAAGGCCUGGUAAGGUUCUUCGCGUUGCCUCGAAUUAAACCACAUGCUCCACCGCUUGUGCGGGUCCCCGUCAAUUCCUUUGAGUUUUAAUCUUGCGACCGUACUCCCCAGGCGGAGUGCUUAAUGCGUUAGCGACGCCAUCGAGCCUCAAGGACCCAACAGCUAGCACUCAUCGUUUACGGCGUGGACUAC